Pseudopipra pipra is the source of this 2485-nucleotide long non-coding RNA. RefSeq lists it as uncharacterized. Lineage: Eukaryota; Metazoa; Chordata; Aves; Passeriformes; Pipridae. The transcript has 2 exons. The record is from RefSeq and is a predicted model, not a curated record.
GCGGCUCCGGGGGCGCCGGGAGCGGCCCCGCGGGCACCGGGCCGGGCCCUCGGCGCGGCGGGAGCGGCCCUGGGGGCACCGGGAGCGGCGAGCGGGGCAGGCGGCCCACGGCGAGCAUGUGCUGGGAGCCGCUCGUCGAGCGAGCGGCGCUGCCCCAGGAGCGUUGCGCCCCCUCAUAAAGCGCCCCAUUGUGCUGCCCUGCGUCAGUGUGGCCGCGCCCGGGCAGCGGCGGUACCAACCCCGGCCCCAUCGCCGGGAGACAGCCGCUGUUCCUGCGGAACGCUCCGAGCGGGUGGAAGUUCCAGAAGGACGGGAGCCCAAGGGUUGCCGUGGAUUUUAUAUCCGUGCAAAGCUCUCCGACGUGGUCUUGGCAGAGGGGGGGGUUUCGUCUGGUUGCACGUGUGACGGUGGUUUUCCUCCCCCGUUUUUUGCAAAAUGGGCACAAACCGAGGAAGAACGUGGCUGGUGCCAGGCCCAGGCCAGCGGCUGCUGAGGUCAGUGGCAGUCUCUGUCCCUGCCCCCGGGUGGCUUGGAGCCCGGCCUAAAAAUACCGAGGGAUGCAGCAAAACAAGUAAUUUCGUAUCAAAGUGCUAUCAUGUGCUCACAGAAAUAGAAGGAAAAUAGAGACGUUUCCUCCCCCACCCCUUGCAAUCCUUUGGAAUUACAGUGAUCGGAGCUGUCGCUUGGAAAGCCUGACUUCACCAGGCACUCGGGAGCUCUUGGAUCCAGAUGCCAUGGAGGGCCCUGCCUGCAGGCUUGAGCCCCUUGAGGGUUGGGAACGUCCAGCAGGGUUUAUCUCCUGGUGGGAUUCACUGCAGAAGGGAAGGCAAGGCCUAAGACUACACUGGCUAUCCAUGCUCCCUCUGGUUGGUAGGAAAGGACAAGUCCCCUCAUCCCAGUGUCUCCCAAGCCCUCAAAUCAGCAGAUUCUGAGCCAGUUUCUAUAAGAGAAAGGAAGUUCUUGUCUCAGGUCUCACAGCAGGGAUCAUGUUCAGCAGUGUCCCCUCUGCCUGUGUCACUACUCCGCAGGUCAGGAGCUGCCUCUGAGUCCCUGCUCCCUGGAGGGACCUCGCAGAAGGGAAGGAUGAAGGCAGGGUCUGAGCCUGGGAAAGGAGCUGGAGGUGGGGAAAGGAAGGAGAGACUGACGCGGAGGGACAGACUCCUCUGCCGCCGGAGCUGUGCUCAAACGAGAGUGUGAUCUGCUGCAGGGUGAGCUGGAGCUGGAGGAUCAGGGUCCAGCCUGCCUUCCAAAAUAAGCACACGCUGAUGGGUGUUCCAGCUGCUGGGGCAGGGCUGGGGCUGACAGUGCAUGGAUAGACCCUGUCCAGCUCCAUCCCGCAGCCCUGGGGACGGGAGGCAGCGGCCCAGCGUCAGAGGCACGUUUGCAAGAGCACGUUUAGUCUUUGAAGAAACUGAAGACUUUAAAGGCUGUUAAAUUUCGGGGCUGAUCAAAACAGCAACACUGUCUUUGCCUGGAGCAGCCGGAGCCCCGCACCCUGCCUGCCUCCCCCAUGCUCCUACACUGGGGCCCUGCUCUGGGCCACCCACCUUCCUUGGGACGUGUCAGGUGGGCAAGGACUCUCCUUCCCAGAAGGAGAAUUGUGAGAGCACCUCUUUUCCCUCCUUGUCCCCGAGACUCAGGGGAUGAACCCACCUUCCCCCUUAUGCAGGCCAAGAGGAGGGGAGGGCCAUAGAGGGUUACCUGUGAUCUGGGAGCAGUUCUCACUCGAGGCACAGGGCCGAGAAGGAACCCAACUUGCUCAUUUUGGGUGAUGAGGAUGAAGGGGCACAGGAAAGUCUCAGUCCCCUGCUGUGGGAUGGAGAGACCCUCUCCUCCCUAGGAGGGGUGGAUGCCAGCUCUCCCUGCCCUCUGCAGCGGGCAGGUCGGAUGGUUUAUUUUACAAAUCAAACACCAGGGAGGGUUGUCCCACACCCUGAUAAUCUCCCUAGAGGUGCCUUUUGCAUGCAUUGAAUCCCCAUUUCUCCUCCUUACACCUUUCUGUGCUGUCUUUAGCAACCCCCACCCAGCUGGGGAUCACCUCCCUGUCACGUCCAUCCACAGGCUGUUAUCACAUCCACCCCACCUUCCAGUGCAUAUUUACCCCAAGGAUCACCUGUCCCACCCAAAACCUUCCUCAGCCCUUUUCCUCUGUCAUUAUCUCGCUUUGGCAGUCAGAAGCAGGCAGGUUUCUCACGUCCCCAAGUGCCUGGCCAGGGAUGAGGCAGAAAACUGUCAGCUUUGGGGAACCUGGAUUUCUCCCAAGUGAGCAGCUUGGAAAUUGGGAUGGGGCUACUCUGGCGUCACUUCCUUGCCCUCCAGCCAAGGGGAAGCCCUCCCUGCUUGCAGCAGCCUCCUGCUCAGCCUCCAUCCCCUAUCCAUGGAAUGGCAGUGGCAGGCCAGGCAGGAUGGCUUUUCUUGAUCGUUCCAGAGUUACAUUUCUCCAGCUGGAUUACUCGCAAUCAUUAAACCUCGUGUUUAAAUCUCC